GACGAACGCUGGCGGCGUGCUUAACACAUGCAAGUCGAACGGAAAGGCCCUGCUUUUGUGGGGUGCUCGAGUGGCGAACGGGUGAGUAACACGUGAGUAACCUGCCCUUGACUUUGGGAUAACUUCAGGAAACUGGGGCUAAUACCGGAUAGGAGCUCCUGCUGCAUGGUGGGGGUUGGAAAGUUUCGGCGGUUGGGGAUGGACUCGCGGCUUAUCAGCUUGUUGGUGGGGUAGUGGCUUACCAAGGCUUUGACGGGUAGCCGGCCUGAGAGGGUGACCGGCAACAUUGGGACUGAGAUACGGCCCAGACUCCUACGGGAGGCAGCAGUGGGGAAUAUUGCACAAUGGGCGGAAGCCUGAUGCAGCAACGCCGCGUGCGGGAUGACGGCCUUCGGGUUGUAAACCGCCUUCGCCUGUGACGAAGCGUGAGUGACGGUAAUGGGUAAAGAAGCACCGGCUAACUACGUG
This 468-nucleotide ribosomal RNA is filed under the name uncultured bacterium. RNAcentral's name for it is "partial 16S ribosomal RNA". It matches the Rfam family "Bacterial small subunit ribosomal RNA", at positions 28 to 507 of the family's 1533-position model. The record is from RNAcentral.